This is a non-coding RNA of Triticum aestivum (bread wheat), 126 nucleotides long. The record is from Rfam. Lineage: Eukaryota; Viridiplantae; Streptophyta; Magnoliopsida; Poales; Poaceae.
UUCAUACUCCUUCCGUUCAAAAAAACUUGUCCCUCAAAUGGAUGUAUGUAGCAUUAAGUUAAUGCUAAAUACAUCUAUUUAACAGACAAGGUUGAGACAAGUUUUUUCGGACGGAGGGAGUAUAUA